AGAAACUUAGGAUAUGUAUUAAACCCGAGGCCUUCAAAGCCCCAAAAAAGAGAUCAACCUCUUAGUUUCUG
This 71-nucleotide transfer RNA is filed under the name Chamaeleo chamaeleon (common chameleon). RNAcentral's name for it is "tRNA-Trp". The record is from RNAcentral. Lineage: Eukaryota; Metazoa; Chordata; Lepidosauria; Squamata; Chamaeleonidae.